ACGGAAGGCAGCAGUGGGGGAUAUUGCACAAUGGGGGAAACCCUGAUGCAGCGACGCCGCGUGAGUGAUGAAGUAUUUCGGUAUGUAAAGCUCUAUCAGCAGGAAAGAUAAUGACGGUACCUGACCAAGAAGCACCGGCUAAAUACGUGCCAGCAGCCGCGGUAAUACGUAUGGUGCAAGCGUUAUCCGGAUUUACUGGGUGUAAAGGGAGCGCAGACGGCAUGGCAAGCCAGAUGUGAAAGGCAGGGGCUCAACUCCUGGACUGCAUUUGGAACUGUCAAGCUAGAGUAUCGGAGAGGUAAGUGGAAUUCCUAGUGUAGCGGUGAAAUGCGUAGAUAUUAGGAGGAACACCAGUGGCGAAGGCGGCUUACUGGACGAUAACUGACGUUGAGGCUCGAAAGCGUGGGGAGCAAACAGGAUUAGAUACCCUGGUA
RNAcentral lists this ribosomal RNA (434 nucleotides) under uncultured Lachnospiraceae bacterium. RNAcentral describes it as "bacterial SSU rRNA". It matches the Rfam family "Bacterial small subunit ribosomal RNA", at positions 341 to 792 of the family's 1533-position model. The record is from RNAcentral. Lineage: Bacteria; Bacillati; Bacillota; Clostridia; Lachnospirales; Lachnospiraceae.